This 648-nucleotide ribosomal RNA is filed under the name uncultured bacterium. Its description in RNAcentral is "bacterial SSU rRNA". It matches the Rfam family "Bacterial small subunit ribosomal RNA", at positions 85 to 719 of the family's 1533-position model. The record is from RNAcentral.
AGGAAAGCGAGCGGCGGAUGGGUGAGUAACACGUGGGGAACCUGCCCCAUAGUCUGGGAUACCACUUGGAAACAGGUGCUAAUACCGGAUAAGAAAGCAGAUCGCAUGAUCAGCUUUUAAAAGGCGGCGUAAGCUGUCGCUAUGGGAUGGCCCCGCGGUGCAUUAGCUAGUUGGUAAGGUAAAGGCUUACCAAGGCGAUGAUGCAUAGCCGAGUUGAGAGACUGAUCGGCCACAUUGGGACUGAGACACGGCCCAAACUCCUACGGGAGGCAGCAGUAGGGAAUCUUCCACAAUGGACGCAAGUCUGAUGGAGCAACGCCGCGUGAGUGAAGAAGGUUUUCGGAUCGUAAAGCUCUGUUGUUGGUGAAGAAGGAUAGAGGUAGUAACUGGCCUUUAUUUGACGGUAAUCAACCAGAAAGUCACGGCUAACUACGUGCCAGCAGCCGCGGUAAUACGUAGGUGGCAAGCGUUGUCCGGAUUUAUUGGGCGUAAAGCGAGCGCAGGCGGAAGAAUAAGUCUGAUGUGAAAGCCCUCGGCUUAACCGAGGAACUGCAUCGGAAACUGUUUUUCUUGAGUGCAGAAGAGGAGAGUGGAACUCCAUGUGUAGCGGUGGAAUGCGUAGAUAUAUGGAAGAACACCAGUGGCGAA